AACGCGAAGAACCUUACCUGGGCUCGAAAUGUUAUGGACCGGAGUAGAAAUAUUCCUUCCCAGCAAUGGGCCGUAAUAUAGGUGCUGCAUGGCUGUCGUCAGCUCGUGUCGUGAGAUGUUGGGUUAAGUCCCGCAACGAGCGCAACCCUUAUCUUCAGUUGCUACCAUUUAGUUGAGCACUCUGACGAAACCGCCUCGGAUAACGGGGAGGAAGGUGGGGAUGACGUCAAGUCCUCAUGGCCUUUAUGUCCAGGGCUACACACGUGCUACAAUGGCCGGUACAAACCGUCGCAAACCCGUGAGGGGGAGCUAAUCGGAAAAAGCCGGCCUCAGUUCGGAUUAGAGUCUGCAACUCGACUCUAUGAAGCUGGAAUCGCUAGUAAUCGCGGAUCAGAAUGCCGCGGUGAAUACGUUCCCGGGCCUUGUA
RNAcentral lists this ribosomal RNA (427 nucleotides) under uncultured Acidobacterium sp. RNAcentral describes it as "bacterial SSU rRNA". It matches the Rfam family "Bacterial small subunit ribosomal RNA", at positions 958 to 1385 of the family's 1533-position model. Lineage: Bacteria; Pseudomonadati; Acidobacteriota; Terriglobia; Terriglobales; Acidobacteriaceae. The record is from RNAcentral.